GGGGGGGGGGGGGGGCGGGCGGGGCAGAGGCAGGUGGAACGGAGAGGCCCUGCUGUUGUGGGGUGCUCGAGUGACGAACGGGUGAGUAACACGUGAGUAACCUGCCCUGGACUUUGGGAUAACUUCAGGAAACUGGGGCUAAUACCGGAUAGGAGCUCCUGCUGCAUGGUGGGGGUUGGAAAGUUUCGGCGGUUGGGGAUGGACUCGCGGCUUAUCAGCUUGUUGGUGGGGUAGUGGCUUACCAAGGCUUUGACGGGUAGCCGGCCUGAGAGGGUGACCGGCCACAUUGGGACUGAGAUACGGCCCAGACUCCUACGGGAGGCAGCAGUGGGGAAUAUUGCACAAUGGGCGGAAGCCUGAUGCAGCAACGCCGCGUGCGGGAUGACGGCCUUCGGGUUGUAAACCGCUUUCGCCUGUGACGAAGCGUGAGUGACGGUAAUGGGUAAAGAAGCACCGGCUAACUACGUG
RNAcentral lists this ribosomal RNA (468 nucleotides) under uncultured bacterium. RNAcentral's name for it is "partial 16S ribosomal RNA". It matches the Rfam family "Bacterial small subunit ribosomal RNA", at positions 38 to 507 of the family's 1533-position model. The record is from RNAcentral.